Long non-coding RNA from Quercus robur (English oak), 461 nucleotides. RefSeq lists it as uncharacterized. The transcript has 2 exons. The record is from RefSeq and is a predicted model, not a curated record. NCBI's taxonomy places the organism in Eukaryota, Viridiplantae, Streptophyta, Magnoliopsida, Fagales, Fagaceae.
UCAAAUACUCUCUCAAGCCCUCUACCUCUCAUACUUUUGGGUCCAGCAACUAGGAAAGGGAAAUCCUUUCAUGCAAGAGUGAUUCUACUUCUAUUUCCCCUCAAGAACUAGAAACUUGGUGUUACCAGCCCUAAGUCUAAGCUCGUUCGACUUUAGGCUCUCAGUUCCUCUGCUUUCAAGUAAGGGAUAAGUUAUAUGGGUAUUUGGUAAGUCAUGAGGUUAUUUUAAAGUAUACUAUGCAUUAAAAGGUUUUUGAUUAGAGAUAUGACAUAUAAUCAUGUUUCAAACAAAGAUAUGUUCGUGAGUUCUCGAAACCUUAUGUAUAUGAUUUAAGCAUAUUGAUGCUAUUACUAAUUCCAUGAACAUGAUGUUUAAAGAAAACAAUGGAAAUGCUUUUAUUAUGAAAUGUUAUGCAAACUAUGAAUUUCAAUAUGAUAUAUAAGUAUGAAAUAUUUUUGGGU